AGUGAACGCUGGCGGUAGGCCUAACACAUGCAAGUCGAACGGCAGCACAGUAAGAGCUUGCUCUUACGGGUGGCGAGUGGCGGACGGGUGAGGAAUACAUCGGAAUCUACUUUUUCGUGGGGGAUAACGUAGGGAAACUUACGCUAAUACCGCAUACGACCUACGGGUGAAAGCAGGGGAUCUUCGGACCUUGCGCGAUUGAAUGAGCCGAUGUCGGAUUAGCUAGUUGGCGGGGUAAAGGCCCACCAAGGCGACGAUCCGUAGCUGGUCUAGAGGAUGAUCAGCCACACUGGAGCUGAGACACGGUCCAGACUCCUACGGGAGGCAGCAGUGGGGAAUAUUGGACAAUGGGCGCAAGCCUGAUCCAGCCAUACCGCGUGGGUGAAGAAGGCCUUCGGGUUGUAAAGCCCUUUUGUUGGGAAAGAAAAGCAGCAGGUUAAUACCCCGCUGUUCUGACGGUACCCAAAGAAUAAGCACCGGCUAACUUCGUG
This 491-nucleotide ribosomal RNA is filed under the name uncultured bacterium. RNAcentral describes it as "partial 16S ribosomal RNA". It matches the Rfam family "Bacterial small subunit ribosomal RNA", at positions 29 to 507 of the family's 1533-position model. The record is from RNAcentral.